AGGCGAAAAGAACCCCGGCGAGGGGAGUGAAAAAGAACCUGAAACCGUGUACGUACAAGCAGUGGGAGCACAGGUUUACCUGUGUGACUGCGUACCUUUUGUAUAAUGGGUCAGCGACUUAUAUUCUGUAGCAAGGUUAACCGAAUAGGGGAGCCGGAGGGAAACCGAGUCUUAACCGGGCGUUAAGUUGCAGGGUAUAGACCCGAAACCCGGUGAUCUAGCCAUGGGCAGGUUGAAGGUUGGGUAACACUAACUGGAGGACCGAACCGACUAAUGUUGAAAAAUUAGCGGAUGACCUGUGGCUGGGGGUGAAAGGCCAAUCAAACCGGGAGAUAGCUGGUUCUCCCCGAAAGCUAUUUAGGUAGCGCCUCGUGAAUUCAUCUCCGGGGGUAGAGCACUGUUUCGGCUAGGGGGCCAUCCCGGCUUACCAACCCGAUGCAAACUGCGAAUACCGGAGAAUGUUAUCACGGGAGACACACGGCGGGUGCUAACGUCCGUCGUGAAGAGGGAAACAACCCAGACCGCCAGCUAAGGUCCCAAAGUCAUGGUUAAGUGGGAAACGAUGUGGGAAGGCCCAGACAGCCAGGAUGUUGGCUUAGAAGCAGCCAUCAUUUAAAGAAAGCGUAAUAGCUCACUGGUCGAGUCGGCCUGCGCGGAAGAUGUAACGGGGCUAAACCAUGCACCGAAGCUGCGGCAGCGACGCUUAUGCGUUGUUGGGUAGGGGAGCGUUCUGUAAGCCUGCGAAGGUGGCCUGUGAGGGUUGCUGGAGGUAUCAGAAGUGCGAAUGCUGACAUAAGUAACGAUAAAGCGGGUGAAAAGCCCGCUCGCCGGAAGACCAAGGGUUCCUGUCCAACGUUAAUCGGGGCAGGGUGAGUCGACCCCUAAGGCGAGGCCGAAAGGCGUAGUCGAUGGGAAACGGGUUAAUAUUCCCGUACUUGGUGUUACUGCGAAGGGGGGACGGAGAAGGCUAUGUUGGCCGGGCGACGGUUGUCCCGGUUUAAGCGUGUAGGUGUGUGUUCCAGGUAAAUCCGGUUCACUUUAACACUGAGGCGUGACGACGAGGCACUACGGUGCUGAAGCAACAAAUGCCCUGCUUCCAGGAAAAGCCUCUAAGCAUCAGGUAACAUCAAAUCGUACCCCAAACCGACACAGGUGGUCAGGUAGAGAAUACCAAGGCGCUUGAGAGAACUCGGGUGAAGGAACUAGGCAAAAUGGUGCCGUAACUUCGGGAGAAGGCACGCUGACACGUAGGUGAAGUGAUUUACUCAUGGAGCUGAAGUCAGUCGAAGAUACCAGCUGGCUGCAACUGUUUAUUAAAAACACAGCACUGUGCAAACACGAAAGUGGACGUAUACGGUGUGACGCCUGCCCGGUGCCGGAAGGUUAAUUGAUGGGGUCAGCGCAAGCGAAGCUCCUGAUCGAAGCCCCGGUAAACGGCGGCCGUAACUAUAACGGUCCUAAGGUAGCGAAAUUCCUUGUCGGGUAAGUUCCGACCUGCACGAAUGGCGUAAUGAUGGCCAGGCUGUCUCCACCCGAGACUCAGUGAAAUUGAACUCGCUGUGAAGAUGCAGUGUACCCGCGGCAAGACGGAAAGACCCCGUGAACCUUUACUAUAGCUUGACACUGAACAUUGAGCCUUGAUGUGUAGGAUAGGUGGGAGGCUUUGAAGUGUGGACGCCAGUCUGCAUGGAGCCGACCUUGAAAUACCACCCUUUAAUGUUUGAUGUUCUAACGUGGACCCGUUACCCGGGUUGCGGACAGUGUCUGGUGGGUAGUUUGACUGGGGCGGUCUCCUCCUAAAGAGUAACGGAGGAGCACGAAGGUUGGCUAAUCCUGGUCGGACAUCAGGAGGUUAGUGCAAUGGCAUAAGCCAGCUUGACUGCGAGCGUGACGGCGCGAGCAGGUGCGAAAGCAGGUCAUAGUGAUCCGGUGGUUCUGAAUGGAAGGGCCAUCGCUCAACGGAUAAAAGGUACUCCGGGGAUAACAGGCUGAUACCGCCCAAGAGUUCAUAUCGACGGCGGUGUUUGGCACCUCGAUGUCGGCUCAUCACAUCCUGGGGCUGAAGUAGGUCCCAAGGGUAUGGCUGUUCGCCAUUUAAAGUGGUACGCGAGCUGGGUUUAGAACGUCGUGAGACAGUUCGGUCCCUAUCUGCCGUGGGCGCUGGAGAACUGAGGGGGGCUGCUCCUAGUACGAGAGGACCGGAGUGGACGCAUCACUGGUGUUCGGGUUGUCAUGCCAAUGGCACUGCCCGGUAGCUAAAUGCGGAAGAGAUAAGUGCUGAAAGCAUCUAAGCACGAAACUUGCCCCGAG
This 2310-nucleotide ribosomal RNA is filed under the name Salmonella enterica subsp. enterica serovar Enteritidis. RNAcentral's name for it is "partial 23S ribosomal RNA". It matches the Rfam family "Bacterial large subunit ribosomal RNA", at positions 512 to 2803 of the family's 2925-position model. Lineage: Bacteria; Pseudomonadati; Pseudomonadota; Gammaproteobacteria; Enterobacterales; Enterobacteriaceae. The record is from RNAcentral.